This 1090-nucleotide long non-coding RNA is filed under the name Scleropages formosus (Asian bonytongue). Its description in RNAcentral is "lncRNA (ENSSFOG00015029668.1)". The record is from RNAcentral. Lineage: Eukaryota; Metazoa; Chordata; Actinopteri; Osteoglossiformes; Osteoglossidae.
CGGAUAACCUCGGUGUAGGCCAGUCCUGACUCAGCUAUCUAUAAAUGCCAUGCUCUGUGGUUUUCUACUAUAUUACGCAGACAUCCACAGAUGAAAUACAGCCCGUUCCUUGUCGAUUGGCCCCUUUGGAUCUCUACGCUAAGGAGCGGAGGAGGGAAACCAUGUAGGACCCAAGUGCACAGGACAAUCUGUCCAGUUUCCCAGAUGCUGAAUAAGCAGAGAUGCGUUGUCAGCGUUCACUCUGGAAUAUCGAAGGUGAAGGUAGGCUUUCAAGUGCUGUAAUGCCUUCACUGCAGACAAUGGAUCAAAUGGGGAAUCAAGAAAAUGCAGGCCUUUGAACCACCCACAAGCUGUACAUCAACUCACACAAUGUGUGCAACCGCUUGUCCCGAAUGGGGCCGCGGGGAACCGGAGCCUAACCCAGCAACACAGGGCACAGGGCUGGAGGGGACACACUCUGGGAAGAACGCCAGUCCAUUGCAAGGCACCCCAAGCGGGACUCGAAACCUAGACCCACCAGAGAGCAGCAUCCGGCCAAACCCGCUGCGCCACUGCGCCCCCCUCUUCUUCGACCUACGACUUGUCUCUCUGAUUUCGUCUUCGGAUUCUCCUUGUUGCCACUUCUGCGCCUCGGUGACCUUUGACUGUUUGUUUGGAUUUCCCUGAAUAAAACCACCCUUUGCACCGCGAUUGGGUCCGAUGCUUCCACUUUUGGUGGAAACCAUGACAAUGAGCAUAUUAUCAGUGGAAUGCGACAUUAAUACUAAUUACUAUAUUACUGCCAUAAAGCUGUUCUGUUCACUAUGGCAGAAAGUUUUUACAAGGCUCCCAUCACAUGAAGCCAGAUCAGGCCUUCUGGAGUAAAUUACCCUUAAAUAUAUAUUUAAGACUUUGUGGUGUAAACAUAACACACAGCAGAAUCAUUCAAAAUGCUGGAUGGAAACUGGGUCAUGCUGAGUCAUGUUCUUGCACAGUGCAUCAAGCCCUGAAUACAGUACUGUCAAAUGCAACAUUACUGAAACAGAGAAGGCCAUAGAAGAAUCCUUCCACAGACAAUAAAUCACUAAAAUUUUUGAAAAAAAGUGGGGAA